Long non-coding RNA from Strongylocentrotus purpuratus (purple sea urchin), 3832 nucleotides. RefSeq lists it as uncharacterized. Lineage: Eukaryota; Metazoa; Echinodermata; Echinoidea; Camarodonta; Strongylocentrotidae. The record is from RefSeq and is a predicted model, not a curated record. The transcript has 3 exons.
ACAGGUCAGAAUUGAACUGUUUUAUAGUGAAACAUAUAUACCUAUUUUUAAUCAAUAUCUCCUCAGGAGGAAAGUAAGAAGUUUAUAUGUUAACAAACUUUGUACUUCAAAGAAGUAUGACUCACACAUAUUCUGAGUAGAAGCUAUCAAUUUGGCCAAAACACGACAUUCCACAGCUAUGAGAGAGUUAAUGAUGUAUGGUCACUUGGUCAAAGGUUAGUAACUCGACCCCCCCCCCCCCUUCCAGAACACUUGUAGUAACUUAGCCAAACAAACCCCAGAUUGUAAACAUCGGAUAAGAACCCCCAAAACAAAAGACUUCCUGUCUCCCUCCCAAUAACAAGACCCUUUCCCAGAACAGGUUACGUGUGGUAGCUAGAUCACUGUGAGAGUGUAGCUGUUAUAAAAGAAGGCAGAGGUAUUUGACAGAUUCACUCCUGUACUGCACCCCAUCCAUGGGGCAGGCAGGGAGGUCGACUCUGCAAGCUUUUGGUGUAACAUGUCAUUAUAUAGGUGUUGACAAAUUACAAUCAACAUGUAAGAAGCGGGAACGAGAGGAAACGGUCCUCUAGGCCAGAUUGCCAGGGCUUUAGCUUUGGCUUUAGCUUACUUUAGCUUUGUUCACUUUGCACCUGAAAUAAAAAGAACCGCAACACAACGAAUGGUGUGAUAUAGUAUUUUCUACCAGUUUCCGCGUGUGAUCGGCGAUGUUACAAAUGGCGUAAUCGGCAGGAUUUCAGCAAGUGCAAGCCCUGGCUUUCUGUGGAGCUUCUACAUCUGUGGGACAACUCGAUCGGACUCAGAUGUCUAGAAACGUGUAAAUAUUGACGUAGAUUUAAGUUGUAGCGAUUGUGUGUAUUGUAUGAAUGUUUGUUGCUAAGCUAGUGUGAAGUUUAGUAAGGAGCUACAUUGUGUUUGUUUAGGGGAAAUUAAGGAGUAAUGCUAUUCAUAUGUUGUUCAGACUGUCAUGAUAAUACUGUGUUUGGAACAGUCCAUACCCCCUUUCGUAUUUAAUUUCGGCUGGUUGGAUGGAGCCUCAUACAUAAGGGAUGGCAUACAAAGACACCGGUAUUUUAUAAUAUUGAUAGGAGGGAUAACAGUACAUGUAGGUGUAGAGCAAGUAUGAAGCUUUAGCUUUAUCACGUAUGAAUAGUUGGAAUAUUCUUUAUUUGAACUUGUAAAUUGUUGAGAUUUUAAGUUGGUUUUGGGAUUCGUUAAAGUUUUGGUAUUUUAAGGAUAAGUUAGGUUUAGGUUGUACUUCAUGUAUAUUACAUUUAUUGAAUUGAUAUGCAUGGUGGAUAUAUUUUUUAGUUUAGAGACUGCUUUUGAAAAAGCAGGGGAGCCCAUGAACGUGAAAUGUUGUUUCAGUUUGGGUCAGCAAUUGUUCGGAGUAACUAUGUGCGUGUGUUGUGUAAUGGAUAUUGUAUUGUUUUACUGAGAUUUCUGGAAUGUAACUGGGUUUUGGCUGGAAUUACUGUUGGACUUAGCCUGGAUAGUGUAUUUAGUGUUUAUUCCGAAAACCUCGACAUGAGACCGGAAUCAUUCAUGGAAGAAAUACUGGGGCGACUUUUAGGAACAGUAGGGUUUAUCUCUCUAUCUUUGUUUUUCUGUUAACCUCGUAGAGAGGCCGGAAAGGGCACAUUGGUAGCGGAGAGGAUUAGCCAUAAGUUAUAAGAUUUCUUUGUAUAUUGCAAUGUCGAAUUUUUGUAUCUUAAUUAGGAGUUUAUUAAGAUGUGAAAGGAAUAUCCAUAGGGCAAGGUUGUUACGAAAUAUAGUUGACAGUUUUACUGCUGUAUUUGCUAGCGUGUGUAAAUUAGGUACUAUAAGGAUGAUUAUUGUUUUUGUGUGUUUAGAAUGACACAGGGUAGAAUAAUUGGGUAUACCGUGAAAGUCAUCUGGCUUGUUUGAAAUGUCUGGGAUAUGAAGAUUUGUGUUGAUAACUAAGGUUUGGCAGUAGAGACUCUGGAACUGUUAUGAUCAGUUGGGUAGUACUUAGAUAAUUUGUAAAUGCUAGGAGCCUCGACAUGAGACCAGUUUUACAUAAUAAGGAGUGCUAGAAUGACUGAAACAGAUGAGUUUUGGCACUAGGUAUGUUUUCUGUGAUUCUCGUCAUGAGACCAGAAAGUUCGUAUUAGUGGUGCGGGUUGGCCAAUAACGUGUUAUGAUUUCAAUUUUUAUGUUCUGUAUUAUGCAAAAAUAGUUUUAAUCACAUGGUUAAUUUUGAUUUGCAUAUUGGUAAUUAGGCAUCGGUAUUAGGAUCGGGAAACAGCCACGAUGGAGAUAAGGUAUAGUGGGAAUUUAAUAUAAUUUUUGUUGUAGUAUGAGUGUCGGGACGACACGCAAUUAAGCAGGGGAGUGUGUAACAGGUCAGAAUUGAACUGUUUUAUAGUGAAACAUAUAUACCUAUUUUUAAUCAAUAUCUCCUCAGGAGGAAAGUAAGAAGUUUAUAUGUUAACAAACUUUGUACUUCAAAGAAGUAUGACUCACACAUAUUCUGAGUAGAAGCUAUCAAUUUGGCCAAAACACGACAUUCCACAGCUAUGAGAGAGUUAAUGAUGUAUGGUCACUUGGUCAAAGGUUAGUAACUCGACCCCCCCCCCCUUCCAGAACACUUGUAGUAACUUAGCCAAACAAACCCCAGAUUGUAAACAUCGGAUAAGAACCCCCAAAACAAAAGACUUCCUGUCUCCCUCCCAAUAACAAGACCCUUUCCCAGAACAGGUUACGUGUGGUAGCUAGAUCACUGUGAGAGUGUAGCUGUUAUAAAAGAAGGCAGAGGUAUUUGACAGAUUCACUCCUGUACUGCACCCCAUCCAUGGGGCAGGCAGGGAGGUCGACUCUGCAAGCUUUUGGUGUAACAUGUCAUUAUAUAGGUAAGAAGAUUAUUCUUUUGUUAAGUUGGAUAAUUAUUGAGAUAAUUAGUACUUUUGUAGAUGUAUUCUGAUGUUAGUUAAUAACCUUGGUAUCGUUAUGAACGAUAAGUUGUGCUGAAUUAAUAUGCAUUAAAGGUGUGGCAUAUUAUUUGUUUAAUCAUCAGUAGGUUGAUUUCGUUAGUGCAUUAAACACUAGUUUACGAUUUGGUAAUAGUAAUUUAAGAUGAUUUGUAUAUUACUAUGUUAUCCAUUACUUGUAAUCUUUAGGAGUUUUAGUUAUAAUGUGUUGUUGAGGUUAACUCUGGAUAAUCGUAUUUUGCAAGACAGUUGUAUUUUAAAGUAAUGUUUUAAGAGUUAACAGUUAACGGAUACAAUCUGAACCUUCUUCAGUUUGGUGUUUUAGAGUCAAAUUUACAAUGAUUUGUAUUAAUUAUUAUUCCUUCAGGUGUUGACAAAUUACAAUCAACAUGUAAGAAGCGGGAACGAGAGGAAACGGUCCUCUAGGCCAGAUUGCCAGGGUGAGUGGGUUAUCAUAUUCAAUGUAUAAACCACUAAUUCAAUGUAGUUUUAAUUGGGAAUUAUGUUUGAUUGUUUGACAAAGUUCACUUGAUGGUUGUAUUCAUUUAUUUGUUGGGAAAGUUAUCCAUAAAGAUGGAAGAACUUUAUUGAUUAGAAACUUGUUAUUUUCAUGCAAUAUUGAUUAAGUUUUAAUGAAUGGAAUAUAAACAACCUGUUUAUCAUUUAUUAUCAUGAGUCGGCUUGACGUCAUAUUGUUGGAAUUCGUAUCUUAGAGUCAUUAACGAAUAUUAUGUUUUUCGCUAUUAUGUGUGUUUUUCAAACAUGUCCUCAUUUUUAUUUAAUUGUUUUAACUUUGUUUAUUUGUCCAGGCUUUAGCUUUGGCUUUAGCUUACUUUAGCUUUGUUCACUUUGCACCUGAAAUAAAAAGAACCGCAACACAA